AGAGUUUGAUCCUGGCUCAGGAUGAACGCUGGCGGCGUGCUUAACACAUGCAAGUCGAACGAGAGAAGAUUAGUGCUUGCGCUGAUCCGAUCGAGUGGCGGACGGGUGAGUAACGCGUGGGUAACCUGCCUCAUACAGGGGAAUAACAGUUGGAAACGGCUGCUAAAACCGCAUAAGCGCACAGUAUCGCAUGAUACAGUGUGAAAAACUCCGGUGGUAUGAGAUGGACCCGCGUCUGAUUAGCUAGUUGAUAAGGUAACGGCCACCAAGGCAACGAUCAGUAGCCGGCUGAGAGGGUGAACGGCCACAGUUGGGACUGAGACACCGGCCCAAACUCCGUACGGGAGGCA
This 350-nucleotide ribosomal RNA is filed under the name uncultured bacterium. RNAcentral describes it as "bacterial SSU rRNA". It matches the Rfam family "Bacterial small subunit ribosomal RNA", at positions 8 to 350 of the family's 1533-position model. The record is from RNAcentral.